CACGUGAGAAACCUGUCCCGGACUCUGGGAUAACUCGGGGAAACCCGAGCUAAUACCGGAUACCCCCGGCGGACCGCAUGGUCUGCCGAGGAAAGUUUUUCGGUCUGGGAGGGUCUCGCGGCCUAUCAGCUAGUUGGUGAGGUAACGGCUCACCAAGGCGACGACGGGUAGCUGGUCUGAGAGGACGAUCAGCCACACUGGGACUGAGACACGGCCCAGACUCCUACGGGAGGCAGCAGUGGGGAAUCUUGCGCAAUGGGCGAAAGCCUGACGCAGCAACGCCGCGUGCGGGAAGACGGC
RNAcentral lists this ribosomal RNA (300 nucleotides) under uncultured Acidimicrobiales bacterium. Its description in RNAcentral is "bacterial SSU rRNA". It matches the Rfam family "Bacterial small subunit ribosomal RNA", at positions 114 to 415 of the family's 1533-position model. Lineage: Bacteria; Bacillati; Actinomycetota; Acidimicrobiia; Acidimicrobiales. The record is from RNAcentral.